RNAcentral lists this ribosomal RNA (440 nucleotides) under uncultured bacterium. Its description in RNAcentral is "partial 16S ribosomal RNA". It matches the Rfam family "Bacterial small subunit ribosomal RNA", at positions 338 to 795 of the family's 1533-position model. The record is from RNAcentral.
CCUACGGGGGGCAGCAGUGGGGGAUAUUGCACAAUGGGGGAAACCCUGAUGCAGCGACACCGCGUGGGUGAAGAAGCGCCUCGGCGCGUAAAGCCCUGUCAGCAGGGAAGAAAAUGACGGUACCUGAAGAAGAAGCACCGACUAACUACGUGCCAGCAGCCGCGGUAAUACGUAGGGGGCAAGCGUUAUCCGGAUUUACUGGGUGUAAAGGGGGCGCAGACGGCGAUGCAAGCCAGGAGUGAAAGCCCGGGGCCCAACCCCGGGACUGCUCUUGGAACUGCGUGGCUAGAGUGCAGGAGGGGCAGGCGGAAUUCCUGGUGUAGCGGUGAAAUGCGUAGAUAUCAGGAGGAACACCGGUGGCGAAGGCGGCCUGCUGGACUGCAACUGACGUUGAGGCCCGAAAGCGUGGGGAGCAAACAGGAUUAGAUACCCCAGUAGUC